UCAGCUGUUGGACUCCCUCCGUCUUUAAUCAUGUACAAUCUAAAAUUAGUCGGUCCUCCAAUAAAAAACUUCUGGUAUCCUCCUCGGCAUGUGGGCAUGAUCUGAUCAACUAGGAUUUCCUCAAUGGUGUCCGUCGGGGCUGAUCGUCGAAGAAGUGAUGAUGAUACAGGUGGGAUGUCUUCAUCUUUAACAUAGCGACCAUCAUAGGGCUGCAACUCUUCAACAUAGUGACCAUCGUAGGGCUGCAACUCUUCAACAUAGAAGAUGGGGCUAACCUGCAAAUCAUCUGAUAACUCGAGCACAAAGGUCUUGGGUCCCAUCCACUUCA
This 328-nucleotide long non-coding RNA is filed under the name Phoenix dactylifera (date palm). Its description in RNAcentral is "long non-coding RNA (PDAC_LNC016110)". Lineage: Eukaryota; Viridiplantae; Streptophyta; Magnoliopsida; Arecales; Arecaceae. The record is from RNAcentral.